Molecule: ribosomal RNA, 289 nt
Filed under: Moesziomyces antarcticus
Lineage: Eukaryota; Fungi; Basidiomycota; Ustilaginomycetes; Ustilaginales; Ustilaginaceae
Description: partial large subunit ribosomal RNA
Rfam family: Eukaryotic large subunit ribosomal RNA
Source: RNAcentral
AGGCUUUGUGAUACGCUUUCUAAGAGUCGAGUUGUUUGGGAAUGCAGCUCAAAAUGGGUGGUAAAUGCCAUCUAAGGCUAAAUAUUGGGGAGAGACCGAUAGCGAACAAGUACAGUGAUGGAAAGAUGAAAAGAACUUUGAAAAGAGAGUUAAACAGUACGUGAAAUUGCCAAAAGGGAAGGGUAGGAGGUCAGAGAUGCGGCCUGGGAUUCAGCCUUGCUUUUGCUUGGUGUUUUUCCCAGAUUGCAGGCCAACGUCGGUUUUGGGCACUGGAGAAGGGUAGGAGGAA